GACGAACGCUGGCGGCGUGCUUAACACAUGCAAGUCGAACGGAAAGGCCCUGCUUUUGUGGGGUGCUCGAGUGGCGAACGGGUGAGUAACACGUGAGUAACCUGCCCUUGACUUUGGGAUAACUUCAGGAAACUGGGGCUAAUACCGGAUAGGAGCUCCUGCUGCAUGGUGGGGGUUGGAAAGUUUCGGCGGUUGGGGAUGGACUCGCGGCUUAUCCGCUUGUUGGUGGGGUAGUGGCUUACCAAGGCUUUGACGGGUAGCCGGCCUGCGAGGGUGACCGGCCACAUUGGGACUGCGAUGCGGCCCAGACUCCUACGGGAGGCAGCAGUGGGGAAUAUUACACAAUGGGCGGAAGCCUGAUGCAGCAACGCCGCGUGCGGGAUGACGGCCUUCGGUUUGUAAACCGCUUUCGCCUGUGACGAAGCGUGAGUGACGGUAAUGGGUAAAGAAGCACCGGCUAACUACGUG
Molecule: ribosomal RNA, 468 nt
Filed under: uncultured bacterium
Lineage: Bacteria
Description: partial 16S ribosomal RNA
Rfam family: Bacterial small subunit ribosomal RNA
Source: RNAcentral